RNAcentral lists this non-coding RNA (565 nucleotides) under Pan troglodytes (chimpanzee). The record is from RNAcentral. Lineage: Eukaryota; Metazoa; Chordata; Mammalia; Primates; Hominidae.
UCAGCUCAGUGCAAUCUCCGCCUGCUGGAUUCAAGCGAUUCUCGUGCCUUAGCCUCCUGAGUUGCUGGGAGUACAAGCGCGUGCCACCACACCAAGCUAAUUUUGUUCCUUUCUUUGACUUCGCUCCCCAGAAGCAUGAACUGCGAUGAGCACUCCCUUCCUGCCUUUGCUUGUACUGUCUUUUACCCCUGAAACUGCACUCCUGACCCUUUGGCUUUAGGAUACCUGUACAACUCGUUUUUCCAGACAUUCACGAGUCACCUCCAAAUGCUUUCUCGAUCUGACAAUUAUGUGUCUUGGGGUUGAUCUUGUCAUGGAGUAUCUUACUGGAGUUGUCUGGAUUUCCUGAAUUUAAAUGUUGCCCUGUCUUGUUAGGUUGGGGAACUUCUCCUGGAUGAUGUCCUGAAGUAUGUUUCUCCAAAAGCAUGAGCUCCUCAAAGUUCAGGAAGCAAGUCCAAGACUUCACCCUUGAUCUUUUUCCACAGCCCUAUGGGGUGAAUAGAAGCAGAUAUUAGAUACAGCUCACACAUAGAGAAACUGAAGUACACUCCAUCAUUUCUGAGCA